CAAUUCAUGUCAUAGUAAUCUUCAGUUUAAAUUUAGCUUUUAAAUUGUUACAUUUUCAUAUUUUAUCUAUUUACUUAUUUAUUUUAUAUUCACCUAUAUUGACCAUAAAGCUUGCUUCGACUAGAAGUAAUUAAAAGAUCAUCUACCGGAGUCACACGGAGAUAUUCAUGAAUAUUUUAUUAUCAGAGUGCAACAUUUUAUCAAGUUUUUUUUUUUGGUCUUGUGUAAUUAAAUAAAAAGAAAAAAAAACCUAAAAGGGUAUUUUUUACAUCUGGGUUUAAAGAAGUUUGAUAUUAGCAGCGUUUUUAAGAUUUUAAAUUAAUUCCAAAACAGCUAAAUAAGGGACGCGUAGAAAAUGUCACUCAACAGGCAAUUCUAUACUUUCGUUAUUUUAAAAUUAAUUUUAAUAUUUCCUUGUUUUUAUUUAAUUUAUAGAUUAUUUAGUGUUAUCUGAUUAAACUAUUUGUGGCUUGUGUUUUAUUCCCCUGCGCAUUUAGGCAUUUUGCACCCAUGUUCUGUACCUUAUUGAUUCUGACUUCAUUUUGUUUUUAUUUUUUAUUAAAUGUAAAGGUAAAUUCUGAUCUAAUUUAAGUUCUGUAAGUUAUGGAUUGCUUUCCGUUGUGUCGAUGUUGCGCUGUUGCAUGCUGUCACAUUAAAUUUAGCCGAACGUGCUAGGUGCUCUGCGUGAUCGUAUUUAGGGGUUUAUCAAACUAAACAUCAACAAACGGAUUUUUUCGGCAAGUAUAAGUUUUAAAAUGUUUUUAAAAAGGUUGCUUAACUUGUCGAAGGUUGAGCUACAAAACAGGUAAGCAGUUUUUUUUUUUUUUUGGUGAUGACACCAAAAAUAUCUCUACUGAAUCUGACACAAUUGUCUCUCCGGGUUGGUCUCUCUUGUGAUUUAAUAUUAUGGUCGGUGACGGUGUUAACUUUCAAAUGAUAGAAAAGAGAUUCCUGAAACAAAUGUUAUAAGUCGUCAGGUGUUUCAAGUGAAUACAGAGAUGAUCAAAGCAAUCAGAUAUUUCUGUGCAAAAUAAUAAAGCAUAUGUGGCAUGUAGAGAUCGGGAGGUCAUUAUUGGGUAUUAGUUUAUUCAUUGGUUGGGGCCGAUAGAGGGGGUUGGAUUACGCAUAUAUAAACAGCAUACGUGUGGGUGACCCAGACGAGCGUCAUUUCCCGGUAUCCCGUUUCGCUUCCGGCAUAUGGACUGAGGGCUGUUGUUAUCUUGGCUGUGCAGGACGAUUGCUGCAAUUGUAAACAUCUCCGUGGCUGCAGAUAUUGUGGCUUUGACUUCACGGCGGCGUGUCUCAUCUGUUUAUGCGAUCACAUUCAGUCAAUACGAGGCUGCGUAUGGGCGGAUGACGACUGUAUACGCCAAGUUAUUCUCCUCGUGUAUCCUGAGCUCCACCAGCUGAGUGAUUAAACUGAAACUAAAACUUUGCAUUGCCACUAUGGAGUAUUAUCUUCACCUCCACUGAUUCCCGGGUCCCUGUGCCUGUUAUUCGGUAUGUCUCACUCAUGUGGGUUUAUUACAGAAAUGUAUUGUGACGACUGAUUAACAUGAUUAGUUUUCCCCAUGUUAUAGAGUGAUAGGGGUAUGCAGUGACGUCACCGCUGUCUUGUUCCGGGUUGAAUAUUCGCGUUCGUGAACGUGAAUCCCCUUUUGAUACGUUUGUGAAUCCGCUAAUGCGGUGGGAGUGCUUUUGCACUUAUAUGGUCCAGUUAUGUUUUCAGUUGAUUUAUUUGUUGUUUUGGGUUAAUUUUUGUAUUAUUGCCAGCAUACUGGCGUGAACAUAUGUUUUCUUUCUGUUUGUUUCAGUGACAAUUGGUUUUGUUUCUUUAUUCUUUAAUUCAAUUUAAUUUGGUUAAUUUUGUUAUUGUGUGUUUGACAGGCAUUAAGUGUCAGCUGUGUUGCCUGCCUGAACUUUGUAAAUCCUUCUUGUUUCUGUUUGAGUGUGUGUGUGUGUGUGUGGGUGUUUGUGUGUGUGUGCUGUGAUAUUUUGUUUUACAGGAGCUGCAGACCUUUGAUGAAGAGCAGGGCUAAAUAAAGUCUUCCUUUAGGUGGUGAUGGUGUUUCCUCACGGAGUGCUGUGAUUUGCCGUGUGCACUGGGGCUUUUGGAGUGGUGUGAGUUUGCAGUGUACGUAGAGUAAAGGCCUGUACGGCCGGUCAUUUAGCCGAGGCUGCAGCUCCUUGUGUCGUCCUUCUGGACCAUUUGUGUGAUUGUGGUCCCAGUUUAUGCAUCUUGUGAAUGCAUUUUAAAUUUCUUCUGACUUUACAAAUACAAUAAAUACUCUAUUUUUAUACCAGUACCUCUGUCUCCAUUGCCUAUUUGCCACAGAGUGGGGAACUUGUGCAUAAUGUUUUCAAUCAAUUCCUUGGGUGAGAUUCCCAGGGUGGCGUAGUCAGGCAUUAUUAACCCUUUGGGUAACUAACUUAUUCAAAUUUAUUUAAUUCAUAUCUUCCCUCUGCCAUCUGGCCACACAUAUAUAGUGUCUAUAAAAUCAUUAAUUUCAGUGUUUUUUGGUUAUAAAUGAACCGUUUAAGGAAUUGUAUAUAAAGCUUGUUUUUUUAUAAUUUACAGUAACAAAUUAUAUGUAAUUUCUCGUCUUUUAUUUCCCUGCCCGCUAAAUCUCAAAAUGAAAUAAGAUCGCUG
This is a non-coding RNA of Misgurnus anguillicaudatus (oriental weatherfish), 2650 nucleotides long. The record is from RefSeq and is a predicted model, not a curated record. NCBI's taxonomy places the organism in Eukaryota, Metazoa, Chordata, Actinopteri, Cypriniformes, Cobitidae.